ACAGCAGCAGCCACGGUAAUACGAAGGGUGCAAGCGUUAAUCGGAAUUACUGGGCGUAAAGCGUGCGUAGGCGGUUUGUUAAGUCUGUUGUGAAAUCCCCGGGCUCAACCUGGGAAUGGCAAUGGAUACUGGCAAGCUAGAGUGUGUCAGAGGAUGGUGGAAUUCCCGGUGUAGCGGUGAAAUGCGUAGAGAUCGGGAGGAACAUCAGUGGCGAAGGCGGCCAUCUGGGACAACACUGACGCUGGGGCACGAAAGCGUGGGGAGCAAACAGGAUUAGAUACCCCAGUAGUCCCUGUCUCUUAUAC
This 305-nucleotide ribosomal RNA is filed under the name uncultured bacterium. Its description in RNAcentral is "partial 16S ribosomal RNA". It matches the Rfam family "Bacterial small subunit ribosomal RNA", at positions 506 to 807 of the family's 1533-position model. The record is from RNAcentral.